RNAcentral lists this non-coding RNA (239 nucleotides) under Peptostreptococcaceae bacterium. RNAcentral describes it as "T-box sequence". It matches the Rfam family "T-box leader". From Rfam's summary of the family: Uncharged tRNA acts as the effector for transcription antitermination of genes in the T-box leader family. Lineage: Bacteria; Bacillati; Bacillota; Clostridia; Peptostreptococcales; Peptostreptococcaceae. The record is from RNAcentral.
UUAAAUGCGUUGAUAAAGAGAAAGAUAUCAUUAGAGUUUUCAGAGAGCCACGGUAGGUGUGAGGUGGUAGCGAUAAGAUAUGUAAUAUUCACUUUUGAGUAGCCAAGUUCAAAGAUGUGUCGAGUAGACUUGAGACGGGAGCUCCCGUUACAGAGCAAGGAAUUGAUUGAUUCCGAUGAGUGAUGGAUUUUUCCAUAAUUUGGGUGGUACCACGGAGAACUUAUAUCUUCGUCCCUUUG